UUUGUAUUACGUGCGGAAAUUGUUACCAUUUUUGAGACCGUGAAAUGGUAACAAUAUCCGCACGUAAUACAAA
This is a non-coding RNA of Paramuricea clavata, 73 nucleotides long. Lineage: Eukaryota; Metazoa; Cnidaria; Anthozoa; Malacalcyonacea; Plexauridae. The record is from the annotation of a GenBank genome assembly.